Molecule: long non-coding RNA, 286 nt
Organism: Oxyura jamaicensis (ruddy duck)
Lineage: Eukaryota; Metazoa; Chordata; Aves; Anseriformes; Anatidae
Exons: 2
Source: RefSeq, a predicted model, not a curated record
UUUUCUACUUUUAAGUACCAGUCUACAUGCUCCUAUAUUGAGAUAAUAGGUGUUUGUAAAUUACCUGACAUACCAUUUUAAUGGCCAAUUGACUGUUAUUAAUAUGUUUAGAGAAGAUUUGCACAUCAUUCAUCAGGCAUGUUUUAUCUAAUAGCAAGCUGAACAGGAAUUCCCAGUUCUGCAUGGCUUUUUGCAGAAGGCUUUGUUUAGAAACGUGCUGCCUCCCUUUCCACAUUCCUUAGCCAUUCUAUGCAAAGCAAAUCAUUAUCAGAUAUGCUUCAACUAA